GCACCAUUUGUCUCCAAGUGACUGACAUAGGAACCUGAUGCGAGGGCGAUCUGCGAUUGUUUUUUCCAGGAAGAAAGGAAAGAGCAAGGUGUAGCUGAUUAGCAAGUUAAUUAUUUCAGUAUCCCAAGGGUUCCAGUGUGGUGGAGGCAGCCCACGGCACCAGGCUCCAGAGAGCCAGCUUCCUGACUUCAGCGGUGUGAAGAUGAUCCAGUACAUUUUUGGUUCUGGCUUUCAGCCGUCCCCCAAGCAGAUGGGGAACUGAGGUCUAGGGAGGAGAAGAGCCUUGCUUACGGACACGUAGCGAGUUCACAGGGAGGCCUGCCUUCC
This 327-nucleotide long non-coding RNA is filed under the name Vulpes vulpes (red fox). RNAcentral's name for it is "lncRNA (ENSVVUG00000018423.1)". The record is from RNAcentral. Lineage: Eukaryota; Metazoa; Chordata; Mammalia; Carnivora; Canidae.